Molecule: long non-coding RNA, 782 nt
Organism: Nicotiana tabacum (common tobacco)
Lineage: Eukaryota; Viridiplantae; Streptophyta; Magnoliopsida; Solanales; Solanaceae
Source: RefSeq, a predicted model, not a curated record
AUCCUUUCCCUCUUUUUUUCCCAAACCCCUCCUUCACUUUCACAAAAGAGAAGCUUUUCAGCUUCCAUUUUCUUUCACUUGAAAAAUUUAAAAACCCUCACUUGAAGAUUAAAAACAAUGAAAGAGAUGCGAAAUUUUGUAUGGUAAUUUUUUUCUUCGUGAUGAAAGAGAUGCGAAAUUUUGCUUUCUUCCUGGUUAUAUUUUGAACGAUGCGGGUUCAGAUCUAUGGUAACAAAAUUUUUGAUAGAAUCGGUGUAUUUUGAAGAGGGAUAUAACACUCGUUUUUGAAUUCGAGAUAACUCCUGUGGACCUUCAGAGAAGACGCAAUUGUCACUAGCUGAUAUUCCUCUUUUUGCUCUGCAUGGUGUUUGAAUCAAUCUCAAGGACUACUGGAUCAGAGCAUGCGGCGGACAUCAAAAUUGGUUAGAGGCAGCGGAAAAUUGACUAAGGUUACUACGGCAGCGCGACCUUGACACUUACAAUGAUUCACCCAGAUCCAGGUAUUUUCGGACACGGUGGGUGUUGAUUUCUUUGCGCAGCUUGAUCAUUGGAGUUUCAUGGUAGAUGCCCGGCGUUCGCAGACCUUGUCUCUCCUUCCCUAUCUUUCCACUUUAUGUAGUUAGUUUUAGUCAUUCAUAGACAUUAUUUUUUAGACUUGUGUUGUAUAGACGCUAAUGUACUCAGUGACACCCCGAUAUUGAGAAUUUUCGUAUUGGGUUUUGACUUUCUAUCCAGUUUUUGAGAGUUUUGAUGAUUUAAACAUGUGUUAUUCUUAUUUUUCA